GAAUGCUGCAGUUAAAGGGUCCGUAGUUGUUUGUAUGUCUUUUGAGUGAUGUUUAUGGUUUUUAGUGGAUGUAGUUUUAUUGUAGCAGAGGACGAGGGGCACUGGAUAGUUGGGCGAGGGGUGAAAUACGAAGACCCUGACUGGACGAAGAGAAGCGAAGGCUGUGUUCUUGGACUUUUGUGGUGAUGAAGGACGAAGGCUAGAGGAUCGAAAUCGAUUAGAUACCGUUUUAGUUCUAGCAGUAAACGAUGCCGACUGGACGGGACUGUUUUAGUGUUGUCCGAGAGAAAUCUUAAGUAUGUGGGUUCUGGGGAUAGUACGCUCGCAAGGGUGA
This 334-nucleotide ribosomal RNA is filed under the name Encephalitozoon hellem. Its description in RNAcentral is "partial small subunit ribosomal RNA". It matches the Rfam family "Microsporidia small subunit ribosomal RNA", at positions 432 to 774 of the family's 1311-position model. Lineage: Eukaryota; Fungi; Microsporidia; Unikaryonidae. The record is from RNAcentral.